UGGAUGAAAUAUAAACUGUCUCUUAAUUAUAUUUAGAAUUUAAUUUUUUAAUUAAAAAGUUAAAAUGAAUUAAAAAGACGAGAAGACCCUAUAGAGUUUUAUAAUUAAAUUAAUUGAGAUUUUUUGUAAGAUUAAAAUUAAAAUUAAUUUAUUUAUUUUGUUGGGGUGACAGAAAAAUAUGGAGAACUUUUUUUAUAAUAUUACAUAAAUAAGUGGUUAAAUGAUCCAAUAUUAUUGAUUAUAAGAAAAAAUUACCUUAGGGAUAACAGCGUAAUUUUUUUUUUUAGUUCAUAUAAAAAAAAAAGUUUGCGACCUCGAUGUUGGAUUAAGAUAAAAUUUAAAUGCAGAAG
RNAcentral lists this ribosomal RNA (350 nucleotides) under Sesamia calamistis. Its description in RNAcentral is "partial 16S large subunit ribosomal RNA". The record is from RNAcentral. Lineage: Eukaryota; Metazoa; Arthropoda; Insecta; Lepidoptera; Noctuidae.